AACACCCUAAACCCUGAAUGCAAUAAAUCAUGCAAAUAAUUCAAUUUUUUGGAAGAGUUUAGAUGCUACAUCUUCAAUUAUCUCAAAACAUGCAUAACUAUGUUUUCAAAAGCUCGCAGCGGAAAAUCAUAAUACAAGGCAUCUCAACAACAUGAAACAACAUGAGUAAAAAUGUACCACUUGAAUAUAGAUACUCAGAAUCAGGAGCUUAAACUGCAAGGUAAUGAGACGGUGAUGCUGGAAACUUAUUCCAUAUUUACCUUAGUUUUGAACUAGAAAAGAAAACAUGUAGGCGAUUGUGUUGCUCUGAUUUUAUAACACUAGGGUUGGGGUAUUUUGUUGUUUGUUAUAUUUAACUGGAAUUGACUUGGAAACGACAAUUUUAUUUUGCUAUGGUUUUUAGACCUUAAAUUAUUUUAAUUAAAGUUGAUGAACUACUCCGCUGCUUUAUUUGUGAUAUUUGAUUUGCAAAAAACUGAAUUGUUGAGUAUGUGUA
Molecule: long non-coding RNA, 496 nt
Filed under: Medicago truncatula (barrel medic)
Lineage: Eukaryota; Viridiplantae; Streptophyta; Magnoliopsida; Fabales; Fabaceae
Description: lncRNA gene22902
Source: RNAcentral